Long non-coding RNA from Cercocebus atys (sooty mangabey), 4276 nucleotides. Lineage: Eukaryota; Metazoa; Chordata; Mammalia; Primates; Cercopithecidae. The record is from Ensembl.
CAAAAGGGUCGUUAGAAAGCCACCCGCGUCCUUCAACACCAGAAGUCCCUCCCUGGGGGUCAGGACCGGAGUCUUCCACUGUAGAAGCUGCAAGCCCCACGUUGAAUCGGACCCUUUUCCUCCAGUGGGACCUGAGAGCAGGGACAAAACGGGACGUCGCGUCUCCAUCCUGAAGACCCAGGGGGUCUUGGUCUCUGCACGCCCGUCCCGUGGAGGAAGAGUGAGAAGGGGCAGCAUGUGCAGCGCAAGCUGCCGUCCGCGUGGGAUGCGCCAGGACUAGAACUGGCUCUGCCGACUCUCGGGGGCUUCUCUGGGAGAGGCCCGGCCUUGGCUGCUGGACCCUGGUCCCUCCUCCUGGACGGCAGUCCUCAUCCCAGUUCCAGGGAUGUGCAGCAUUCCCUGCCAAGCAGGGGUGAGAACUGCUUCUGUGUGAAGCACCAGCCUCGGGUCCUCUCCUCUCUCUUGGUCCUCACAGUAGUUGCCACCAGUGUCUGGAGGAAGAUUUUCAGAAACGACAGAGGCAUGGCCCAGUGACAAGAUGAAGGCUGUGACUGAGCCGCCUGGAUGGUGACCUUCAUUCAAGGAGGCUCCCUGGAUGGUCCUGGGAGGGCUCCCCAACACCUCAGUGGCCCCUCCAAUGCUGCAAUGUGUUUCUGGGGUCCUGAACACCUGCUGGCCAACAGACCCCACACCCACCCUCCUUCAUUGUCAUCUCUGUGGGGACAGACAAGAGCCGUGGCCGCCAUGGGCCAUGGGGUGCCCUCAACCCUCUGCCUUCCUACCCAGCCUGAGACAGGAAGGCCGCCAGCUGGGAGCACCACGGGACUGAUCCAAGGAAGGCGUGGGGAGUGUGGUGACAGGAGAUGGGACGAGGGGGCAGAGCCAGCUGGAACAUGGAUGCCAGAGGCUGCCUCCGUAGUGCAUCUCCAGAAGUCACAGAGGCCCUGAGCGCCCAGAGCCACCUGAGCCACCUGAGCCACCUGGCCUGGAAGCCCCUGCGCAGGCCAGACCUGCAGGCCAUGGACCCCAGCAGGAACCGAAGCCUCACCCCAAGCCUUCAUACACAAGGAGCAGCCCAGGUGAGGGACGGCGGAUGCACCUGUGGCUCUACUGGUGCAAGAAGGGAACCGUCGUCCAAGAAGCUGACAGAGAGGAAGCAGUGCAUUGGUGAAGGCAACGUUAGGUGUGAUUUCCAUUCCUGCUGGGAGACCCAGGUCACAGCCCGGGAGCUUCGUCCAGCCUGUGGAUGGAGCCUGACUGCCUGCAGAUGGAACUUCUGUGUCCUCCCACCCUUGGUGGUCUAAGGUUAUUGCUCUCAGAGCUGAAUUGACAGGAGGUGUGUGUGUGCACGCUCACUUGUGUGCACAUGCCUGCGUUUAUGCGUGUUUUCACUCAACCAGAAGAGCAAUUCAUGGGAUUUAGCCGUUUUGAGGCACCUAGAAGUUGAGGCAGUUAGAUGUGCAGCCAGGUGUGAAUGUAACGUGCACCAUUGUAUAAAGGAGGUGACUCGGUUGCUGCAGGGAGGAUUGGGUUGUCUGGAAGUAUUAGGUUCAUUUUAUAUUUGUGUCAGAAGAAAUGUCUGACUUUGGGGCAGAUGACAUAGUGGCCGCGGCCCAGGCAUGGUUCCCUAGGUUGAAAUCAGGGAAAAGCUAAUACUAUCAGACAGGUAUGCGUUUUCUUUGGUGGCUGCAGGGUUUCUGCUGGAAAAUGCACUAUUAAUCAGCACUUGUCCAAGAAAGACCCAUCCGUUUCUGUUGUCAUUCAAGCCACAGUUCCUGAUUUACUCAGACAAGAUACUGGGCCAGUUCAAUGUCUCUAGCUGAGCCUGACCUUGGGGUUUGCGUCUCAAGUCUGAAAUCUUGUUCAGUCCUCUGUGCAUAGUUUUGUCUCAUUUUAAUGACUGCAUCUUCUUGGUACAUUUAUUAUACUCAGAACUGAAUGGCACACAAUAGCCUUGUGUUAAUAAAAGCUACCGUAGCACUAUGGGUGAACCGCUGAGUUGAAGUCCGAUGGACUCUACGAUGCAGGUAUCCAGAAAUACGUUGUAACUCUACCUGCCUCCCUGCCAGCCUGGCUCCUCCUCUGGGGGAGCUCCUGGCGUGGUCCUAGUGUUGUCCUGCAUGGGAACAACAGCUGCAUGGGCCAGCUGUUUUGGAUCUAAAGAUGUGCAGUGAAACUCAGAUUCACAUCCCUCAUGUUUAUUUGGGUCAUCAUGGUUUUGCAUGUUGUAUAUAUGUCUGGUGCACUUCAUACACCUCUAUCCACCACAGGCACUCUUAAUCACAGUCUGUAAUAGUAAUAAGGCAAACUAUACAGCAAAGAGAAGCAUGUAAAUAUGUACCAAUUCUUAUGAAGUUGUAAUUGUUUAUAUGUAAAAAGUAUGUAUAUACGAAAGGGAGAAGGUACAAGGAACGUGCUGAAUAACAUCCAAACUGCAUUGCAUCCCUGUCCCAUUCCUGAAAGCUCACAUCUAGUUGGAGCGUCAGUUCCUCUCCUCAGAUAUCAUUGUUCUCACUCUUCUAUCAUAGGCACCUUCUUUACAUCUGAUUACAAUAUCCAGCAUUUCAGAACUGGGUUUUUGCCCCCAAAAAGGUAAAUAUGAACAUUUAUCACUGACUCCUCCUGGUCCAGUGAGCAGCAGCAGAAUUCAAGUAUUUAAAAAUAAGGUGCAUUUCUAAAUUGUAGGCUAUACCUUCUUUUUCCAAACCAAUGGGCUAGAGUGAAUUUCCUCUGAGUACUUGGGCUGUCUUACUGCUAGCUUUUCUAACAGGGGAAGUCUGUAUAAAUGCAUCAUCCGCUAAUAACGCAAGAGGAAGGACCCUGAAAUGUGGCCAGAAAUGCUUACUGUGUAACCAGGACAUCAACAUUUACAUCAUAUUGUAUUAACAUCAUCACACUCUGUGCUCAACACACAGAACAACAUAGAUACUUCAGUUUGUCUAAAGUAAAAAUCCACGUAAAUCGCAGAUUUCUUUGUUGACACCAGUGUGUUGUUUACCUUGUGCCCACGGUCCAGAUUUUGAGCUGGAGAAGGACUAUGGCUGUUCCUUAAAGUCUCUGCCCUGGCAGAAUCUGUAGCCUUCAGGAUACCCCGAGUGCCUUACAGGGCUUGUGAACACCGACAGUAGAAGUCAAAAAGAAGAGAGUGCCCAAGCGUGGGUUUGGAGGCACUGAUGCAUUCGCCAACACUCACUGUCAUCCCAAAACCCUGAGAGGGAGUAUGUGUUUUAACACAGAGUGGAAUUUAAGUUUAGGCUCAGGAAACUCAUAUUCUGAAUAUAGGUAUCAAAUCAUAUAUUUGUUUACUGUAUAUUUUUUAAAAAGCUUUAUUGUAAAUUUAUGCAAAAACUAACCGGCCCAUUUUCUUAUGGCAGCAUGCCGAGCAGUGUGUGUGUCCUCCCAGGCACUCCCUUCAUAGUCACCCUCUAACCACGUGACAUUCUGUUCAGUGCUAGUCCGUAUUCACAGGCCUAACGUAGGUUUGUAUGGUGAUCUACGAGAUUUUACACAUAUUUUUGUAUUGUGAUUCCUAUGAUAUAUACCAGAGAAUUUUUACUCAUUUGUAAAUUAUUGUACAGUUUUAAUAAAAAAUGUUUUAAAUCUUAGACGAUUAAAGUCCCUUCAAAGGUAUUAAAGUUUGAACUGAAAGCCGUAUGAGCCAUUUCUGCACUUCUGAGUUCAUUCCCUGAACAGUGCCUCUGAACACCAAAAACGGGGUCUGCGCCUUCCGCCCACUGUGGAGGAAAGCCCCAGGUCUCACCUGCGAGAUCACCUGGAGGGCAAGCUCUGCAGUCAGGGGUGCCCGGCAGCACCUGGCUCAGGUCGACCACCUGGGAGACUCCCUCCUGUGGCUGUUGGUCAAAUGUGAACCAUCGAAGAGAUCGAACAAUUAGGAAAGGGACGGAACUUCUGCACAUGCAUGAGAACAGUUGGGGAUGUUUGCCGUGGACGGUCCCACAGGUGAGUAACAGACAUAUUAAUCAUUGAGGGGUGGGGGAGCCAGAGGAGGACGAGGGGGUGGGAAGCUGCUCGACCUAGCUCUGCUGGCUCAGGCCCCGCCAGUACUCGAGGUGACUCAGUGUCCGAACUCUGGCUUUGAAGUGCGGACUGCGCUAACAACGCAAAGGCCCGAAGUCUCUGGGUUCAAAUUCAGCCGUUGCAGGCUGGGUAGAGUGAAAGAUGGAGUGACAGCAUAGCCCCCUCACCCCUGUCUCACCCCAAGCCUCUAACUCGGCUUUAAGGGAGAUCAGCAGCAGUUUGCGUGGGCAGGUACCCC